RNAcentral lists this unclassified non-coding RNA (378 nucleotides) under plant metagenome. RNAcentral describes it as "partial contains 5.8S ribosomal RNA, internal transcribed spacer 2, and large subunit ribosomal RNA". The stretch from base 1 to 105 matches the Rfam family "5.8S ribosomal RNA", at positions 50 to 154 of the family's 154-position model. The record is from RNAcentral.
GAAAUGCGAUAAGUAAUGUGAAUUGCAGAAUUCAGUGAAUCAUCGAAUCUUUGAACGCACCUUGCGCUCCUUGGUAUUCCUUGGAGCAUGCCUGUUUGAGUAUCAUGAAAUCUUCAAAGUAAAUCUUUUGUUAACUCAAUUGGUUUCUACUUUGGUAUUGGAGGUCUUUGCAGCUUCACACCUGCUCCUCUUUGUACAUUAGCUGGAUCUCAGUGUUAUGCUUGGUUCCACUCGGCGUGAUAAGUUAUCUAUCGCUGAGGACACUGUAAAAGGUGGCCAAGGUAAAUGCAGAUGAACCGCUUCUAAUAGUCCAUUGACUUGGACAAUACUUUUAUGAUCUGAUCUCAAAUCAGGUAGGACUACCCGCUGAACUUAAGC